UUCUUAUGAUGACUCUAGCACAUGUCUUAUGCCCUGUGUCUAUGCCAGAACCUGAGAAGGUGAACCCACUGGUGUUGCCAGGGCAACAAGGAGAUAACUUGUUGGGGUUACCAACUGUCUGAGGGCC
Small nucleolar RNA from Trichomycterus rosablanca, 127 nucleotides. RefSeq annotates it as small nucleolar RNA SNORD22. The record is from RefSeq and is a predicted model, not a curated record. Lineage: Eukaryota; Metazoa; Chordata; Actinopteri; Siluriformes; Trichomycteridae. The transcript has a single exon.